Long non-coding RNA from Fukomys damarensis (Damara mole-rat), 317 nucleotides. RefSeq lists it as uncharacterized. Lineage: Eukaryota; Metazoa; Chordata; Mammalia; Rodentia; Bathyergidae. The transcript has 3 exons. The record is from RefSeq and is a predicted model, not a curated record.
GAGGAGGAUGAGGGGAUUGCAGGAAGCAAAUGCUUCUGUACCUCAAGACCUCCAAGGGGACCUCAGUCUCCAGAACUCAGGAUUGCUUUGUAAACAGCAGCACAAACCCGUUCUGAUAGUGGUUCUGCACCAAUGCGUGGCGGCUGCCUGGCACAGCGUGUGGCCGAGACAAGCCCCUGCACCUGUCACCAGGGCCAAGAGGGCCAGGAGGGAGACCGCCUGCACAUGCAGGGGAGCCCAGAGUGGUGACAAGGUCACUGUAUCCCUUCCUGCAGCUCUGAGCUCCUCCCUGAAGGCACCGAGGAAAGACUGCCCUG